Molecule: ribosomal RNA, 459 nt
Filed under: uncultured bacterium
Lineage: Bacteria
Description: partial 16S ribosomal RNA
Rfam family: Bacterial small subunit ribosomal RNA
Source: RNAcentral
ACUACGGGGGGCUGCAGUGAGGAAUAUUGGUCAAUGGGCGCUAGCCUGAACCAGCCAAGCCGCGUGAGGGAGGAAGGUACAGAGUAUCGUAAACCUCUUUUGUCAGGGAACAAAGACUGGGACGCGUCCCCGGAUGAGUGUACCUGAAGAAAAAGCAUCGGCUAACUCCGUGCCAGCAGCCGCGGUAAUACGGAGGAUGCGAGCGUUAUCCGGAUUUAUUGGGUUUAAAGGGUGCGCAGGCGGUCUGUUAAGUCAGCGGUCAAAGCCCGGGGCUCAACCCCGGCCCGCCGUUGAAACUGGCAGUCUCGAGUUGGAGAGAAGUAUGCGGAAUGCGCGGUGUAGCGGUGAAAUGCAUAGAUAUCGCGCAGAACUCCGAUUGCGAAGGCAGCAUGCCGGCUCCACACUGACGCUGAGGCACGAAAGCGUGGGUAUCGAACAGGAUUAGAUACCCCUGUAGUC